GAUGAACGCUGGCGGCGUGCCUAAUACAUGCAAGUCGAGCGAACGGACGAGAAGCUUGCUUCUCUGAUGUUAGCGGCGGACGGGUGAGUAACACGUGGAUAACCUACCUAUAAGACUGGGAUAACUUCGGGAAACCGGAGCUAAUACCGGAUGAUAUUUUGAACCGCAUGGUUCAAAAGUGAAAGACGGUCUUGCUGUCACUUAUAGAUGGAUCCGCGCUGCAUUAGCUAGUUGGUAAGGUAACGGCUUACCAAGGCAACGAUGCAUAGCCGACCUGAGAGGGUGAUCGGCCACACUGGAACUGAGACACGGUCCAGACUCCUACGGGAGGCAGCAGUAGGGAAUCUUCCGCAAUGGGCGAAAGCCUGACGGAGCAACGCCGCGUGAGUGAUGAAGGUCUUCGGAUCGUAAAGCUCUGUUAUUAGGGAAGAACAUAUGUGUAAGUAACUGUGCACAUCUUGACGGUACCUAAUCAGAAAGCCACGGCUAACUACGUGCCAGCAGCCGCGGUAAUACGUAGGUGGCAAGCGUUAUCCGGAAUUAUUGGGCGUAAAGCGCGCGUAGGCGGUUUUUUAAGUCUGAUGUGAAAGCCCACGGCUCAACCGUGGAGGGUCAUUGGAAACUGGAAAACUUGAGUGCAGAAGAGGAAAGUGGAAUUCCAUGUGUAGCGGUGAAAUGCGCAGAGAUAUGGAGGAACACCAGUGGCGAAGGCGACUUUCUGGUCUGUAACUGACGCUGAUGUGCGAAAGCGUGGGGAUCAAACAGGAUUAGAUACCCUGGUAGUCCACGCCGUAAACGAUGAGUGCUAAGUGUUAGGGGGUUUCCGCCCCUUAGUGCUGCAGCUAACGCAUUAAGCACUCCGCCUGGGGAGUACGACCGCAAGGUUGAAACUCAAAGGAAUUGACGGGGACCCGCACAAGCGGUGGAGCAUGUGGUUUAAUUCGAAGCAACGCGAAGAACCUUACCAAAUCUUGACAUCCUUUGACAACUCUAGAGAUAGAGCCUUCCCCCUCGGGGGACAAAGUGACAGGUGGUGCAUGGUUGUCGUCAGCUCGUGUCGUGAGAUGUUGGGUUAAGUCCCGCAACGAGCGCAACCCUUAAGCUUAGUUGCCAUCAUUAAGUUGGGCACUCUAAGUUGACUGCCGGUGACAAACCGGAGGAAGGUGGGGAUGACGUCAAAUCAUCAUGCCCCUUAUGAUUUGGGCUACACACGUGCUACAAUGGACAAUACAAAGGGCAGCGAAACCGCGAGGUCAAGCAAAUCCCAUAAAGUUGUUCUCAGUUCGGAUUGUAGUCUGCAACUCGACUACAUGAAGCUGGAAUCGCUAGUAAUCGUAGAUCAGCAUGCUACGGUGAAUACGUUCCCGGGUCU
This 1372-nucleotide ribosomal RNA is filed under the name uncultured bacterium. RNAcentral describes it as "bacterial SSU rRNA". It matches the Rfam family "Bacterial small subunit ribosomal RNA", at positions 28 to 1381 of the family's 1533-position model. The record is from RNAcentral.